RNAcentral lists this long non-coding RNA (200 nucleotides) under Panax ginseng (ginseng). RNAcentral's name for it is "long non-coding RNA (PGIN_LNC006772)". Lineage: Eukaryota; Viridiplantae; Streptophyta; Magnoliopsida; Apiales; Araliaceae. The record is from RNAcentral.
UUGUUUUAUUGAAUUCUUAUAUCAUUGUCAUCAUCCUCAUGUUUAUAUUAUUUUUGAAAGUCAUAUGUGGCCUGUAGUGCAUAGAUGGACUUGGUAUGAUUAUGACCAGGGAUUAUUCGGUGUAAUCAUGACCGUAAUGUUACAAAUGAUGUGGUAAAAGUCCUCAUUGGCCCGUAGUGCAUUGAUGGACAGUUGUUGGC